GAUGAACGCUGGCGGCGUGCCUAAUACAUGCAAGUCGAGCGAACGGACGAGAAGCUUGCUUCUCUGAUGUUAGCGGCGGACGGGUGAGUAACACGUGGAUAACCUACCUAUAAGACUGGGGUAACUUCGGGAAACCGGAGCUAAUACCGGAUAAUAUUUUGAACCGCAUGGUUCAAAAGUGAAAGACGGUCUUGCUGUCACUUAUAGAUGGAUCCGCGCUGCAUUAGCUAGUUGGUAAGGUAACGGCUUACCAAGGCAACGAUGCAUAGCCGACCUGAGAGGGUGAUCGGCCACACUGGAACUGAGACACGGUCCAGACGCCUACGGGAGGCAGCAGUAGGGAAUCUUCCGCAAUGGGCGAAAGCCUGACGGAGCAACGCCGCGUGAGUGAUGAAGGUCUUCGGAUCGUAAAACUCUGUUAUUAGGGAAGAACAUAUGUGUAAGUAACUGUGCACAUCUUGACGGUACCUAAUCAGAAAGCCACGGCUAACUACGUG
RNAcentral lists this ribosomal RNA (497 nucleotides) under uncultured bacterium. Its description in RNAcentral is "partial 16S ribosomal RNA". It matches the Rfam family "Bacterial small subunit ribosomal RNA", at positions 28 to 507 of the family's 1533-position model. The record is from RNAcentral.